CACCCAAAACAUUCCAGUCUUUCCUUUCUUGCCACUUGAGAGGGGGGUUGUUUAUUGACAUUAUGCAAGUGCUGAAAUAUUUUUCUUUUUCUUCUCUCCCGCCCCUUUUUAGCUUUCUCCCCCUCUGUCCUCUGGGGGUUGCAAAGGUAGUUCAAACCCCUCCAGUCAUGUCGGCUUAUCAGCCAAAGGAGAUGCAUUCCUCUGGGCUGCUCCCUUUAUAAGUCACUGCUGGCCGGGCGCCCGCUCGCCGCUCCGCAGCACUCCGCGCCAGCAGCGCUGCCUGCUGCCCCGCCAUGCCCUAGCCCGGGCCCCCGGACCCGCUCGCCCACGGGGGGACGCGCAGCAACCCGGGGGAGGGCCGGCGGCGAUGGCACCCCCGUCCCCCGCCCGCCCCUGAGGGCGGCUGCUGCCGGGAUGUUCAGCUGGCAGCGGAGCUUCACCCUAGGAGCGCCCUGGAGGAGAGGUAAGAAGAGCCCACCUGCUGAGGACAAAGUUGUGUUAACACAUAUGAAGAUAUUGAGCAAUGAAGGAGUUCAAAACCCAGGGUUAAUCACAGAGGCUUCAGCUGACACAGCCUGCACAGAAGAGUCCCAUCUCCCUGGUGCCAGCUUCCCACCGGCCUGCCAGGGAAAUCCGAAUGCAGCAGCCGAACCAGCAGAUCCAGACUAUGCAGAUGCCCCAGCAAGCACAGACUAUGUAGCCACGCUACCUGACCUCAGUGCCUUCCAGUCCAAGUGCCGACUUCACAGAUUCUCCAAAUUCGAAUCUGAGGACUCAGGGGUUGAAUUGCCAAGUGGGGCUAAUUCUCCAUCAACACCAACGGGUUCAGAGAAGAGCUUUGUGCUUCACAGCAGAGACUCAUUUUGUGACUCAGGUGUGCUUAGCACUUCUUCUUCUCCAGAAAUUGACCAUCUGGUAAUGAGAACAUGUAAAGAGCAUGCCAGAAAAGUCAGCCACCAAGAUCCAGAGAGCAAAAAGCAAGCUGAGUACUACAGCCAGGAGGCAGAUGCUGUGCAGGGUCCCACAGCUUCCCUUGGAGACUUAAGUGUCCCUCAGGAAGAAAGUCCAGAUGAACAUUUUGACCAGAGCGAAAAUCAAUCUCUGGAAAAGGAACCCACCCCAGAGAUGGACCCUGCAAGGGAAAGCACUCUUCACACCCCAGGUCCCAUAGAAGAGCCAAAGACAGUUGCUGACAAUUUCCCAGAGAACUUUGGCAGCAUGCAAGACCUCCAGAUCCAUGGACAUCAGCUGAAGAAGUACCCCACAAGUGACAGUCUAGAUGAGUACAUGGAUAAAUGCUGUAGGCUGAGUGAGGUGAACCAAGGUAACAGCAAAGCCCUAGGAUCUGGUCUGGGAUACCUGGAACACAUUUGCCAACUGAUUGAGAAGAUUGGGCAGCUGCAGGAGCACAACAUGCAUCUCCAAAAGCAAGUGUGCAGCUUGCAGAAAGAGCAGAAGAUAAGCCAGAUAAAAGAGGAGUACGUUCUGCAGCAUUGCUCCUGUGGAGCUGCUAGCAUCCUCAACUCACACCAAGACGUGAAGACAUCUUUUGCUGGGAGGAACAGACCUCACAGCCUCUUGGUUCAGACUGGAAACCCAUCUGAUCUUUCCAUCAUCCCAGAAAUAGGAGCGAACACUGAAAAGCUGAGCAGCUGCAAUGGAAGUGAGAGAUACCUGGAAUCAGGAAACAGCCAACCGAUGGUGGGGCUCAGGAAGUUGUCAAACAAUAGGAACAACAAGGAGAAUGAGUACAGAGAAGCUGGUAGUAUGACUGAGGUACAGGCUUUUCCUUCAAAGGACCCUGCAGUAAGAAAGGGUCUGGACGUCAGCAAGAACAUCUCGGGUGAGAGCCAUGCUUGGGGAAGAAUGAAAGAUCUUAUGAGGAAGACACGUCUGAGAAACCAGAACAAGCUGGGGCUGUCCUCUGCUGCUCUGAAGAGGUCCUGUCCACAGUUGUACAGGCCAGAUAUUAUGUCUUCAGAGCUGAGGAAAACUGAGAGGAACUCCAUGAUCAUUCUGGGGCAAAAUACAAAGAAUGAAAACAUAUGGCCUUUCUGAUAACCUGAGCUAAAUAGAACAAGAAAGGCAAAAUGGGAACACCAGUGGACACAAACCCAAGAACCCCACGGUUACUUUGUGCAACCUGCAUCCUGUAGUUGUCAACAGAGCAACCCCGAUUUGAGCAUUGGAAGGGAAAGAGAGAAGGGGGAAGUAGAGAAGGGUGCACGGACCUUUCUGUGCUCAGCUAUGUACAGCUUUGCUCCCAAAUCUGAAAUAUACUCAGAAAAGUCAAGCCACAGAUGAAAAUUAUUGUUAGCAUCUUGGCAAUGUAAACAAUAGAGAUUUGGAAAUUCUUCCUCCUCCUCUCUGGGUCAGGAACACCAUUACUUGAAACAUUGAAGCUUUUAAAUUAUCAUUGCUUUCUGGAGACCUUCUCCAGCUGAAAUAAAUUUAAGCUUUAUGGGACACAGCAGCAUGUAGAAGGGUGCCAGGGACUCAUUGCCCAGUGCAGAAGUGCCUGUUGGAAGGACAGCUUCCUCUCGGGGUGGGCUGAGUGGCAGUCUCUGUGUGUCCCCAACGCCGCUCCUCCCUUCAGAGCAGCAUCUGACCAGCUGUGCCAUUUUACUGGAAUCUAACAGGAAAACCAAGUCUGUAAAGCCAAGACUUCCUACAAGGCCAUUCCUGAAUCCACCACUAGCUUCUAAUCCUGCAAGCCUGCUCUUUCUACAGAGGCCCCUCAAAUACAGUGCUGCCCUACAGGCAUCAUGCAGGUUCAUUGAAGAGACCAGACUGAGGAGCACUGUGGGAAUUAGCCUUUAAAGAGGCCAGAGGGUUCAUCUGAGGCAAUACCUCAGUUUCACCAGGCAGCCCAGCUCUUAUGCUAUCAGUUUUUUUGGGGGGAGGGAACCAGGCUUGAAUUCCUACUUUUAAAUUACAUGUUAAGUCCUCUGGCUGUGCAGGUAGGGUAGUCAUUUUGUCAAAUGGCUCAGUCUAUGCUCUCUCUACUGGAGAGAGGCAAGAGGGAGCACAGAGCUGCAAGGAAGAGUUAUUAAAAUACAGGCAUCCUUUACAAGUUGCUGGUCUUUAGGGCCCUGCUAGCAAUCAUGUAACACUGUGGCCAUGUUUGGUGACUGCCUUAUAGCCCCGUGCCCACUGAUUCCAGACUCAAUGAGCAGAUAGUGCAUGCUUCUGAAGGUCCCAUGGUUGCAGUGGUCUCUGCACACCAGCUCGUACUGGUAUUAGCACAAUAAUUAAUGCACAUAGAGCAAAGAUUUAAAUAAACCAACUUUGCCUCUUGUAAAUAGAGUAUUCUACCCCUUAAAUUACAAUGUAACUGGAAGUCAAGCAAUUGCUCUUUGAAAAUCCUUUCCUAACCCAAACUUGCCUGGGAACCAAGAUUUGAGAAGCUGGCAGGAAUGGAUCAACUUCAGCAGGCUUAGCCUUUCAGUAACACAUGCUUCCCCCUUGCCUACUGGGAUCAGCUGGAGCCCUAAAAGUCUGCCAAACCUGAGCAGGAUCUCUUCUGAGAUUCAGAGCUCUCCAGCCACACAUCCAGGCAGCAGGCCAGGCUUGGUGUUUCAAAUAGCAGAAGGGUUGUUACUUAGCACCUCAAAAAAUACCCCCCGAACAACAACAAAAAUAAAACAACCCCCCCACCAACCAACAGCCCCAAAAAAACCCAAACCCAACCAAACCAAAAACCACCCACCUAAUUAAAAAAUCCAAAAGGUCUGUGCUACCUAAAAUACGUGCUGCGUUUAAUACUUCAGUUGUAGCUGCUGCAGGACUUGUUCACUGUGUAUCUUGCUAGCUUCAUCCAAAGCUAGAAGGAUUCAUAACUUGAUUAUUCUGUGAAUAGUCUGUAUAUCUCCAUAAAUACAGGGGACUAAAAUCCUCCAUUAACUUAUACCCUCCAUUAUCCCUCCAGCUUUACAGAGUCUGUAAGGAAUGUGAAUCAGUGCAAACUGAAUUUUAAGUGUUCUAAGAUGUAGCACCAUGAACUGCUAUUUCCAGCCACCACCAUUCACAUUAUAAGUCUAUUUUGUUUUUUAUUUUUACUAAAAUGAACUAGCACUCUUUUUUACUAUAGCAUUAUAUGAAAUAUAUUCAUGUAUUUUCAGAAAUAAAUAUAUUUAUAACAUGUAACAUACUGUAUAGUUCUCCAUUACAGAAUGCAUUGUAAUACAAGCAUAAAAAAUUUAAUAAAAGCAUCACUACAAUAAUUGUUUUCAGAUAUUAAUGAAUCCCUGGAUGGCAGCACAGCAGCUGCCACACAUUUAAAGUUUCAGGUGAGCACAGCU
Molecule: long non-coding RNA, 4301 nt
Filed under: Strigops habroptila (Kakapo)
Lineage: Eukaryota; Metazoa; Chordata; Aves; Psittaciformes; Psittacidae
Description: lncRNA (ENSSHBG00005014214.1)
Source: RNAcentral